GAUGAACGCUAGCUACAGGCUUAACACAUGCAAGUCGAGGGGCAGCAUAUCGAAAGCUUGCUUUUGAUGAUGGCGACCGGCGCACGGGUGAGUAACGCGUAUCCAACCUUCCCUAUACUAGAGGAUAGCCCGGCGUUUGUCGGAUUAAUACUCUAUGUUGUAUUUCGAGGACAUCUGAAUAAUACCAAAGGUUUACCGGUAUAGGUUUGGGACGCGCCUUUUUAGGUUGUUGGCGGGUUAACGGCCCACCAAGCCGAGGAUCACUAGCUGGUCUGAGAGGAUGGACAGCCACACUGAAACUGAGAUACGGUUCAGACUCCUACGGGAGGCAGCAGUGGGGAAUAUUGGACAAUGGGGCAACCCUGAUCCAGCGAUGCCGCGUGAGUGAGAGGUCUUAGGAUUGUAAGCUCUUUUGACAGGGAAGAUGAUGACGUACUGUAGAUAGCACCGGCUACUCUGUGCAGCAGCCGCGGUAUACAAGGUGCAGCGUUGUUCGAAUUAUUGGCCUAAAGGCGGUAGGGGUCCACAUUCAAUGUUAAAAACGCGUUAUCGGGGGGUGCUGUUUAUUUAUAUA
This 574-nucleotide ribosomal RNA is filed under the name uncultured bacterium. Its description in RNAcentral is "bacterial SSU rRNA". It matches the Rfam family "Bacterial small subunit ribosomal RNA", at positions 28 to 784 of the family's 1533-position model. The record is from RNAcentral.